CUUCUUCCUAUAUAAACCCUACUAUAAGUCUCCAGUUACCCAUCAGCCACAGCGGAUCUGAAGAAACCCUAAUUCGCAGUAAAGUAGAGUUACAAUGGCGGUUCCUCUACUGAAAAAGAAGGUAAUCAAGAAAAGGGUGAAGCAAUUCAAGAGGUAUCAGAGUGAUAGGAGAAUCACUGUGAAGACAAAUUGGCGCAAGACCAAAGGGUAUUGACUCCAGAGUUAGAAGGAAGUUCAAGGGAUGUGUCUUGAUGCCCAAUAUUGGAUAUGGUUCCUGACAAGAAGACUCGCCACUAUCUUCCCAAUGGCUUUAAGAAGUUUGUUGUGCACAAUGCAAGUGAACUUGAUAUUUUGUUGAUGCUCAACAGUUAAUGCAAGAGAGCAAAAUUCGUUUGCUUAUUCCAUCUUUGCUUACUUUGUGACCUCACUGUUAAAUUCUUUCUCUUAU
Long non-coding RNA from Solanum tuberosum (potato), 448 nucleotides. RefSeq lists it as uncharacterized. The record is from RefSeq and is a predicted model, not a curated record. Lineage: Eukaryota; Viridiplantae; Streptophyta; Magnoliopsida; Solanales; Solanaceae. The transcript is spliced from 3 exons.